CCGACAGCCCAAAACGUCAUCCUCCGUUGUGUUUGGCAGGUUAGUCUCUUAAACUCUCCGAUUUUCUUACUCUGUGAAUUGAUGAAUUCAUCUCUGUGAGCCUCCUCUUCUGUUCGUUUGUUCUUCAGUUCAAUUGAUGAAUUGAUGAAUUCAUAUCUCUGUUUGUUUAGUAAUAUAUGUGUUUGAUUUGUGGAGAAAUGUUGUGAAUUGUUUAGAAAGUGUGCAUGAAUGCCCUUAAUUGAUAGUUUGUCGACGGAGAUCAUAUAUGAACUUGGUUUUCGAUUUGGUAAAUUAUAAGAGAUUAGAAGUUAGUGGAAGUGUUAAUGUGGAAGGAUAUGCAAGCAGGGGCGGAGCCAGCCCAGUCUUGACUGGCUGGAGCCUAGAAAAAAAAUACCACAUCCCAUGUGUAGCUACUAUGUGUUUAGUUCUUUGAUUUAAUUAAGGUUGAUCUAGCUGUGUUUAGUACUUUGAUUUUCUCAUGGGCUACUGUGUGUUUGUGAUUUGUGUUUAAAUAGUACAAAAUUGUGUGUUUAAAUAGUACUUUGAUUUUCUCAUGGGCUAUUGUGUGUUUCCUCAUAGAAAUAUAUAUAUAUUGCAAGUGUGAUGCUAUAGCAGCUGUCGAGUUUCAUUGACUUUUUUUCGAGUGUGAAACUGAAUUUGCUUUUAGUUACAAAGUAGUGUCUUUUGUGUUGGUGACCUUGUGAUCAAUGUGCAUUUAGCUGGUUAUGUUUGUGUCAUUAUGCUGCCGGUUGAUUUUGUUUUGUGGCUCUGAUUUUAGAAAAUGUAGAGAAUGGAAUUAUUGACUGGCAGAAAGUGUAUAGAUAGGUAAAGACAUAGGAAUGGGAUAUAUCAUGUAGGUACAACUUGUUAAUAUAGGAUAGAUUUUUACAUGAAUUGAGGUAUGUAAGAAUAUAUACCCAUCACAUGUUUAAUUAACUUGUUAUGUUUAAAGAUGCCGAUCAUUGGGAAGAGGAAGCAACGUUCGGAGAGGGCUCAACAGAUGAUGGAGGCCUUAUGUAACCAGGCUACUACUAGCCAGCCCACACCUUUGCCGGCCGGAAGAGUACCACCAAAGGCUCCUCCUUUGCUCAUCAGGCCGCCCUUUAUACCAUCCGAUACGACUUCCACUAUUGGGGCGACGACCGA
Molecule: long non-coding RNA, 1146 nt
Filed under: Fragaria vesca (wild strawberry)
Lineage: Eukaryota; Viridiplantae; Streptophyta; Magnoliopsida; Rosales; Rosaceae
Description: long non-coding RNA (FVES_LNC005251)
Source: RNAcentral